Molecule: small RNA, 194 nt
Filed under: Arabidopsis thaliana (thale cress)
Lineage: Eukaryota; Viridiplantae; Streptophyta; Magnoliopsida; Brassicales; Brassicaceae
Description: ATSL008880
Source: RNAcentral
AAACACAGAUUAAAUGGAAUCGAGUAGCGUUGAUGAGAGUACUACAAGUACAGGUUCCAUCUGUGAAACCCCGGCGAUAACUCCGGCGAAAAAGUCGUCGGUAGGUAACUUAUACAGGAUGGGAAGCGGAUCAAGCGUUGUGUUAGAUUCAGAGAACGGCGUAGAAGCUGAAUCUAGGAAGCUUCCGUCGUCAA